RNAcentral lists this long non-coding RNA (1669 nucleotides) under Marmota monax (woodchuck). Lineage: Eukaryota; Metazoa; Chordata; Mammalia; Rodentia; Sciuridae. The record is from RNAcentral.
UUCCUCUCUCAUGGUCCUGCAGCUCUGUGGAGCCCAGGCCUCAUGCCAGGUGGCCCAGGAGUUGCUGCAGAGUCUGCUGGGUAGCAUCAGCUGCCAUGUGCUGAGCCUGAAGCACCCAGGCAGUGCCAGGUUCCUGCUGGGUGUGGAGGGGCAGCACCUUUUGCAGGGUUUGGAGGCUCAGUUCCAGUGUGUCUUUGGGACAGAGCGUCUGGCCAGUGCCAACCUGGUCAUGGACCCUGAAGAGGUAGAGAUGAAGUUCUUCCCUAUCUCUCUCCUGUCUUACUCUCCAGCUCCAGGUACCCCCUCUCCCUUGCCCAAAGGCUAGUGACCCUGAUAUCCUUUCCCCACAGGUGGAUUCCACUGAGAUCCUUCAGGUCCUCCCUGGCCACAGCCAUACCUGGUGGCCCACAGAUAGUACAGGCAGUGACCAGGAGAACAUGAGCCUGGGUAGGGCUCCCUGGUAGGGGCCCCCAGCAUGUCCUGUGGUCCUUUUUUGACCCUGCUCUCUGCCUUGCUCUGAACUCUUACCUCUCUAGUGACCCUUCCCAGGCCCAUCCUCUACCCUCAAACUCACUCCAUCUUUCAUCCAUUCCAUCUCAUCCUGUUUUUCAAUACCAUCCUGGCUGGACCUGACUCAUGACCCAGUGUUCUCUCCCUACCCUCAGAGGAAGUCCGAGAGCUGCUGGCAACCAUGGAAGGCUUCGAUAGGGAGAACUGGUUGUCCCUGGAGCUGGGAGAGGAGGGACCUGAGGACCAGCCAGAAGAGGCAGCAACUUCAGGGAAGGAGGAUGAAGAACCCACACCUGGGGCUGGGGAGAAGCCUGUGAGCCUCAGCACUGGGGCAGCUGGGCAGCUAGAGGAGGAAGCUGCACUGCAACUGGCCCUCCAUCGGUCACUGGAGCCUCAAGACAAGGUUGCUGAGCAGGAGGAAGCUGCUGCACUAAGACAAGCCCUGGCCCUCUCCCUUUUGGAGCAACCCCUGUUGGAAGCAGAAGAGUCCCUGAAUGGAGGAACUGGUAGUGGGGCCCAGCUGGUGGUGCAUGCACCCUUUGAGCAGGAUAUAGAUGAGUUGGAACAAGCAUUAACAGCUGCCUUGGAGGUACACCUGAAUAAGGAGACUGUGAGACACCCAGGCCGUGUGCUGCCCACAGAGCUGUGUGCUCGCCUGGGGCAGUGCCAUGGUGUGAAUGUUGCCCUGCGUGGUGAUUGCACUGUCUUUUGUGGCUUUGGAGCCCAACCUGCCCGUGCGGCACGCCACUUCGCUGUGCUACUUGCUGGCCCCUGGGAUCAGAGUUUGGCCUUUCCCUUGGUGGCUUCAGACACUACUUGUGAGUCUGUGCUUUGGACUAGGAGAGGGCAGGUGGCUGACUAUUGGGCUAGUGUGUAAGCAUGGCCCUGAUGUCCUUUCUUUCUACAUAUCAGUGCUAGAACAGAGGCUGAAAAGGCCACUGGGAAAGCUGGAGGGCCUGGAAGAGAGCACCAAGGAAUUCCAAAAUGUGGUGAAGGCUUUCUAUGACACCCUGGAUACUGCCCACAGCAGAAUCCGCAUCAUACGGGUGAGUCUAUACUCUGUCUCACAGGUCUCGGUGAGACUUGCCUGCAUCAGAGUCUGCUGUCCAGGACCUGCUCAGCAGACAGGCUAGAGACUGAGGUAGGGACAGGAGAGCAC